Small nuclear RNA from Myotis lucifugus (little brown bat), 153 nucleotides. Its record names the gene U1. It matches the Rfam family "U1 spliceosomal RNA". From Rfam's summary of the family: U1 is a small nuclear RNA (snRNA) component of the spliceosome (involved in pre-mRNA splicing). The record is from Ensembl. Lineage: Eukaryota; Metazoa; Chordata; Mammalia; Chiroptera; Vespertilionidae.
AUACUUACCUGGCAGGGGUGAUAUCAUGAUCACGAAGGUGGUUUUUCCAGGGUGAGGUUUAUCCGGAUGUGCUGACCCCUGCGAUUUCCCCAAAUGUGGGAAACUCGACUGCAUAAUUUGUGAUGGUGGGGGACUGCAUUGUGCUCUCUCCUA